Molecule: ribosomal RNA, 255 nt
Filed under: uncultured bacterium
Lineage: Bacteria
Description: partial 16S ribosomal RNA
Rfam family: Bacterial small subunit ribosomal RNA
Source: RNAcentral
UACAGAGGGAGCAGGCGUUGUUCGGAAUUACUGGGCGUAAAGGGCGCGUAGGCGGUUCGAUAAGUCCCGUGUGAAAUCCCUCGGCUCAACUGAGGAAUUGCACGGGAAACUGACGGGCUUGAGUUCGGGAGAGGGAAGCGGAAUUCCGGGUGUAGCGGUGAAAUGCGUAGAUAUCCGGAGGAACACCGGCGGCGGAAGGCGGCUUCCUGGACCGACACGUGACGCUGAGGCGGCGAAAAGCUGAGGGGAGCCAAA